Molecule: long non-coding RNA, 3905 nt
Organism: Oreochromis aureus
Lineage: Eukaryota; Metazoa; Chordata; Actinopteri; Cichliformes; Cichlidae
Source: Ensembl
UAUUCAGGCACUCAGAUUCUACUAAAAGGCUUCCUGAUGUUUCCUCUUUGGGGUCUAGGAUUUGCCUGGCUGAUUUUUGGCUUGACCACUAAUUCUGAGCCUGCAGUGGGAGCUAAUGCAACCUCCAGAGAGGACUGUAAUCAAGACUGCAAUGGAAUACAGUAUGACAUCCGAGAGGCUGUUUGCUGUGAAAAUAAGCUUCACCCUGGUGUAAGUCUAUUUUGCUGUGGAAAGGAGCCUUACAAUCCUGGAACAGCCACUUGUUGUAAAAUACGACAUGGACACAGCACCACAGCUGUUACACAGGGUCUAAGUGAAAAUGUGUCCAAGUGCUGUGACCUGAAGGCGUACAACCCAGUCAAUGAAAUAUGCUGUCAAUCAACCAUCGUAGCAAAACCUGGACCAAUGGCUGAAUGCUGUGGUAAAGAGGCUUAUGAUAAGGACAAGCAGUUGUGCUGUGGUCCGACUGAGAGCAAGAUGAUUCUGAUGAGGAAUUCCAGUCACCACCAGUGCUGUGGUCACAACCAGUAUGACACAGAGACUCAGUGCUGCUGUUCAAAUGAGGAAAGCGUGGAGAUACAAUCAAAGGAUUCAUCCUGUUGUUUCAAGGACUUUGGUGUAUCUGCAGCUCCUUUAUGUGGAAAUACGACCUUCAACAUACAUACGCAUUUAUGUUGUCAGUCAACUGUUGUUGCCAAAUCUUCACCACAGCACAGAUGUUGUGAUAAAGGGACAUAUGAUGUGGAAAAGGAGCUGUGUUGUGGUCCAAUUAACGAUAAGAAGAUCCUUAAAAGGAACUCUACAGAUCACCAAUGCUGUUAUCAUGACCAGUUCAACACAAAGACUGAGUGCUGUUGUUGGAAAAAGGAAAGUGCUGAAGUACAAUUGAAGAAUUCAUCUUGCUGUUCAGAGGAGUCAGCUGUGUUUGAAGGUCAAAGCAAGUCCAAGGUGGAUAACCAAGUCUGCUGUGAUGGCUGUGCAUCUGUGCAGAAGCCUUGGAUUAAUCAAUGCUGUGGAGAGACGCCGUAUGGCUCGGCACAGCGUGGAGUUCUCUGUUGUAAUAACAUCUUGUACGAGAACAGAGAUGAUGGAGAGGAAUGUUCAGAGACUGGUAUUCCUUACAACCUGGCUAAAGGGACUAUAUGCUGCUCUCAGUUUCACGGCAGCCCGGGAAAACACUGCUGUGGGACAGAAAUUUACCAUCCUGAUGCUGAGAUCUGCUGCAACGGACACAGACAUUCCAAAUCGAAAAAUAUUCACUGCUGUGGGAUUAAAGCCUACAACAUUAAAGACCCACAGAUGAAGUGCUGUGCAGGAACACUGUACAAUCUGACACUGUUAGAUGAGCAUGGACAGGAUGCACAGUGUUGCGGAUCCCUUCUGCAAAAGCAACAGGACAUUUGCUGCUCAAGUGAGGACAGAGAAGUGCUAUACUCUGCUAGGACAGGAUUCAGAUGCUGUGGUCACCUCUACUUCAACACCACCCUGUGGUCAUGCUGUGCCGAGCGGCUGAGAUCAAUCCAUGAACCAGGACAAGAUCAGAGGAAGAUGAGUAAUGGUCUGUCGUUUCUACUUAAAAGUCCUUUCACAAAGUAGAACUUCAUUUUGUGUCAUUUGAACUUAAUAGCACAGCUUAGAUCAUGUAUUUCACCUGUUCUGUGUCUAUAAUGGGUUUUUUUUUACAGAAUCCAGACUUCAAUCAGUGAAUAAUAUGAACAAAACUGAUCUUUGCAAAAAAAUGCGCAUCGGGACGGUGGAAAGUGUCUCUCUGCAUAGCAUUGUGUUCAAGAGCGUGCUGAAGAUCCGUGGGAAGAAGGCCAAAGUGAAAGCGUUGCCUUUCCCUUAUAUCUUGAAAACAGAUGAUCGCUGCAGCUCACCCAAACUGAUUCCUGGGAAGACCUACUUCUUUAACAAAGUUAAUGUUUUCACCGAUUCCAACCAUGACACUGUUCUUCAGUCACUCCACUUCAUUUUUUCCAAGUGUUCACCUUAGAUCACCAGUCGCUGAUGGAUACAUAUUACUUCUUACUCACACACCGAUUUACAUUUUUUCAUAACAGCUACUACAGAGAUGCGUUGUCACAUAACGGUCUGUUACCUCUAAAACAAUCAACCUUAAAGGUACUCAUCCUCAUAAAAAAAUUUCAACCUGACGUUUUACCAGCGAUACCAGUGGCAAAGUUGGUGAAAACCAACCCAAAGAGAUCUUUUCAGUUCAUCAUUGCUUUUCUUACUCAUUCAGACUCAAAAUUUGACCUGUUUGCUUCGAUUAGCAUGCACUCACCUUGAACAUUGCUCUGGAUCCCACAGAUCUUCAUGAGCUUUACUGAUCUUUAUGUUACUUUUUCAGAUUUUUGAAUAGGUUUGAGUUUGCAUUUGCAGCAGUGUUGCACUGCCAAAAAUUUUAGGCCAGUCACUUUUUUUUUCUACAAGAUGAGAUCAGUUAUUGUUGCACAAAUAACAGUUGGAGUUUUUUUGUUUGUUUAUUUUAAAAUUUUCUAUUAUACAGAUUAUGUAACUUGAGUAAAAACAAAAACACAGCUGGUUUGCUAGUAGCAGGCAACCAUUUACCUUAUUUAGAGACAAUGAUGCACAAUAUUACUGCAAUACAGACAAAUGUGAUGCGAGUAUACAAUGCAUUACUUUUUAUAUCACACCCACACUGCUUACUUAUUUCAUUAAGAAAAUCGCAUUGUGUUUCCAAAACAGCAGUAUCAGUUACUAGUGAUAUUACUUAUACAUUGUUAUCAAUAUAUUAUACAUUGUUUUUCAAAUAUUGUUUCACUUGUUACAUUACUCUGCUUGUAUUCAGCCAAACCAUGUUCCUCUUUGGUUUAAGAUGCCCCCAAAAGUCUCAUCACUGUGAGACUUUAUGUAAAGAUGUUUGAAAUGAGUAAGAACAAUGUACUUCAAAGUGUAAUAUUUACUGAACUUCAUAUUGUAGUCAGUCACACAACUUAAAGUAAUAACUGAGUGUAACACAGCCAAUUGGUACACAGUGUUGUUCAAAUCUAAAUCUGUAAUAUAUGCAAUAAUAGAAUAUGAUCACCAACUGCCAGUCUGAAACAAAAAGAAAAAGCUAAAGAAGCAAACAGUAUAUCAAAGCUUGUGCGAGUCUGGGAUCAGCAGUAACUGAUACCUUAGCAGUCAUUAUAGCAGGUAGCACACAAGAAUAGCAUACAGCUCUGUGCUCAAGCUACGCUGCUAUUAGCUAAUAUGGUCUUUAAAUAUUGGGGAUUAUUAUUUUUAUGCUAUUCUGAUUCUUGCACUAAACUAAAUUAUAAAUGGCGACUGUUUGCACAUCAUUAACCCAUAUAGUUGAAUUUAUACAUGUUCUAUUAAUGGCAUUCUCUUAUUUUUAUUCAUUAAGCUACUAGAUGUACUCAACUUGGCAUUUAUCGUGAAAUAUGCUUUAAGGACCCAAAAGACCACCCAGAGGUCACAUUUAAAUGUCUUGGGUUUGUUUACUUGUAACUACUCAUUUUUGUUCUCCUUGGUUUAAGCUACAUUUUUUUAUUCGGAAUAUGUUUGGCAUUUAUUUCACUGUAUGUUUCUUCACAAUAUAUAAGACACACCUUUAACCCAGAGAAACCCUGGAAAUGUUGAAGGCACGCAAUUUUAUAUUUUGCAUGUUUUAGUGAAAUUGUAGGAAGUACUGUCUUUUUAAGGAUAAAGCUUUGAAUAAAUAAAUAUAACAGCAUGUUGUGUUUUAUCUUAUUGAAUUGAUGGUCUUUAGGUUGGUCUUGCGAUUUAUUCAUGGAUCAAAAGAUAGUUCCAGCUGGAGAUGAAAUGAAUACAGAAAUACACAGAAAGUAGUGACUCUUGUGCCAAAAAUCCCCUGAAAUAUAGAUUUCAAAGUGACCUUUGAAAUUGACCUGGCCUCUUGUCCCCAGGCAACAGCUGUC